This 28-nucleotide non-coding RNA is filed under the name Homo sapiens (human). Lineage: Eukaryota; Metazoa; Chordata; Mammalia; Primates; Hominidae. The record is from RNAcentral.
GAGGCCAACAGCUGCUUGAUGCUGAGAA